Molecule: ribosomal RNA, 397 nt
Filed under: uncultured bacterium
Lineage: Bacteria
Description: partial 16S ribosomal RNA
Rfam family: Bacterial small subunit ribosomal RNA
Source: RNAcentral
AUACGUAGGUGACAAGCGUUAUCCGGAUUUACUGGGCGUAAAGGGCGUGUAGGCGGUCUUGCAAGUCAGAAGUGAAAUUCCUGAGCUCAACUCGGGCGCUGCUUCUGAAACUGCAGGACUUGAGUGCUGGAGGGGAUAGCGGAAUUCCUAGUGGAGCGGUAAAAUGCGCAGAUAUUAGGAAGAACACCGGUGGCGAAGGCGGCUAGCUGGACAGUAACUGACGCUGAGGCGCGAAAGCGUGGGGAGCAAACAGGAUUAGAUACCCUGGUAGUCCACACUGUAAACGAUGAAUGCUAGGUGUAGGGGGUAUCGACUCCCUCUGUGCCGCAGUUAACACAAUAAGUAUUCCGCCUGGGGAGUACGGCCGCAAGGUUGAAACUCAAAUGAAUUAGCGGGG